GGAAGGUGGGGAUGACGUCAAGUCCUCAUGGCCCUUACAUCCCGGGCUACACACGUGCUACAAUGGCAGGUACAGAGGGCUGCGAAGCCGCGAGGUGGAGCGAAUCCCAGAAAACCUGUCUCAGUCCGGAUUGAAGUCUGCAACUCGACUUCAUGAAGGCGGAAUCGCUAGUAACCGCGAAUCAGCAGGUCGCGGUGAAUACGUUCCCGGGCCUU
This 215-nucleotide ribosomal RNA is filed under the name uncultured Latescibacterota bacterium. RNAcentral's name for it is "uncultured Latescibacteria bacterium partial 16S ribosomal RNA". It matches the Rfam family "Bacterial small subunit ribosomal RNA", at positions 1168 to 1382 of the family's 1533-position model. The record is from RNAcentral. Lineage: Bacteria; Pseudomonadati; Candidatus Latescibacterota.